AACUACGUCAUUUUGAGCAACAAUGACCUGACACAGCAGGGACUGUUGGAUGAGGCGAGCACGCUGUGUACCUGUGGUAGCGUCUCUGGUGCAGAAGUGAGUUUGGGAGCAGAGGAGAGGUGUCUCAUCUGGUUUACCCAAUACGACGGCUGUGAAAAAACUCUGAGCAUCUGAGAGAGUAGUUUGGAACGUGGUCAUCUGGUCAGAUUAGCAGAGAUCGUGUCUGCCUGUCCCAGUUUGACCAAACUGGAGUUCAAGAACAAUUUGCUGCAGUCGGAUUCGAUUGAAGACUUUGUGAAACUGUUGAACAGCAGUGAGAGAGGAAUCAGUGUCAGUUUUGAGGAGCAUUGGAUCAGAUCUGAGGAAGCUGUUAGUUUGGUGUGUCGCUGUCUGGAGCUCAACGGUAACAUAUACACCAUCAGGGUUCACCAAACCACGCUACACCUGUCUCUGAUGAAGUCCGAAGUCACU
This is a long non-coding RNA of Morone saxatilis (striped sea-bass), 471 nucleotides long. RefSeq lists it as uncharacterized. NCBI's taxonomy places the organism in Eukaryota, Metazoa, Chordata, Actinopteri, Moronidae. The record is from RefSeq and is a predicted model, not a curated record. The transcript has 7 exons.